CAGUCGCCGCGGGAAUACGUAGGUGGCAAGCGUUGUCCGGAUUUAUUGGGCGUAAAGCGAGCGCAGGCGGCCAAUUAAGUCUGAUGUGAAAGCCCCCGGCUCAACCGGGGAGGGUCAUUGGAAACUGGUUGACUUGAGUGCAGAAGAGGAGAGUGGAAUUCCAUGUGUAGCGGUGAAAUGCGUAGAUAUAUGGAGGAACACCAGUGGCGAAGGCGACUCUCUGGUCUGUAACUGACGCUGAGGCUCGAAAGCGUGGGUAGCAAACAGGAUUAGAGACCCGUGUAGUCCCUGUCUCUUAUAC
RNAcentral lists this ribosomal RNA (301 nucleotides) under uncultured bacterium. Its description in RNAcentral is "partial 16S ribosomal RNA". It matches the Rfam family "Bacterial small subunit ribosomal RNA", at positions 509 to 807 of the family's 1533-position model. The record is from RNAcentral.